UCUAUUAUCGUCCAGCGGUUAGGAUAUCUGGCUUACACCAGGAGACCCGGGUUCGAUUCCUGGUAAUGGAA
Molecule: transfer RNA, 71 nt
Filed under: Helianthus annuus (common sunflower)
Lineage: Eukaryota; Viridiplantae; Streptophyta; Magnoliopsida; Asterales; Asteraceae
Rfam family: tRNA
About the family: Transfer RNA (tRNA) molecules are approximately 80 nucleotides in length. Their secondary structure includes four short double-helical elements and three loops (D, anti-codon, and T loops).
Source: Rfam by way of RNAcentral